CCUGGAGGCAAAAGCAGAAGAGAACCAUCAACCAAACUCUUGAGGUCUACAUCGACAAAAUUACUUGACAGGUCAUGAAGUUAUUUAAAGUCUUUUUUUCUGUUUUGUGCAAUGUUGUGGAUAUGUUUGAAAAUUGAAGUGUUUGUAUUGGAUUUUGCAUUUUUAAGUGUAUUAAUUCCAUUGUUUAGUCAAGGUAGUAUCAUUGACACUAUUAGUGCUGACUUUACAAUAUCAUAUCCGACAUUUUCUUUUAACCCUUUCAAAAUAUUUCAAAGAUUCAAGAGAGAGAGAGAGAGAGAGAGAAUGGCCAUUGGAUGUCAGUUUUAUUUCAAUAGUGCAAUCAUGGCUUUGUUCAUUUCGGGCUUUGGUAAAAUAUGUUUCUAAUCUUUGAAUCUUUACAUUUACUUAUCUACAAAAAUGUUCUAAAAUGCUCAUUAAAAUCUUUCCACAUGAUAAAAUGUUUUUGUUCCCAGUUAAACUAAAGUAUAUAUAAUAUGGAUUGUAAAGAACAUUUAGUGUUUGUUACAAAUUUAGACCACCAACAGAACUUUAUCUACUUUGGCCCUCUGAAUGAGGCUAAAGGAAUGUAUAUCACUGUAGUAAAACCAUUGGAAAGUGAUAUUUUCAUAAUACUGCCCCUUUAAGAGUCACUGCUUUUGCUACUUCUGGUUAAACUUGGAGAAAAAAAUGGAAAUGUAAUUUUGGGUCCUAUGAAGUACUAUCACUUUGACCUCAUUAUUGAUCACCGGUGAGUGUGUUGAUCAGGAUCAGAUUACAACUGCUUUCUGGUCCACGUCUUUAACUGCUAACCCACCACUGUAUGUAAAUUAGGGUAUUAUCCAGAUAUAUGCUUUAAAGUCCAGAUGUUGGCAGCUCUUUUCCUCAUUUUCACACACUCAGGAAAGAAGAGGCAGCCCUGCGUCUGAUGCUGGAGCGCAGAGAGGCGGAGCUCAGAGAAGCAAUGAAGCUGCGUCACAGCCUCACCACUUUGCUGCACGCUCUCAGGGUCAACAUGGAGCAGACUUUUUUUAACUCGGGUGAAAGUUGCCAAAAUGAUGAGAAAUCAUUGGAUCAAGCUGAGGUGGCACUUGGUGAACAUGUGACUGGAGGAGUGGUUCACAGUUGGAGAGAAGUGCAGAAAAGGAUGUGCUUGUCUGAUGGUCAAACCACUGGAAGCACCGACCAGGACAAGCUUCUGGCUCAGCUGGAAACUGAACUGAAAGAGUCUCAGCAGCUGGUUCGGUUGCAGCAGCAGCUGCUGCAGGACAGCCUUAAUGAAACUGUUCCCUCUGAGCUGGCUGAUUCCUACUUUCUGGAAGAGUGGGAACGUGUCCGAAUGCACUGGGCAGAGUUUGAUUGUCAGAGGAAAACUUUUGAAAGGGAGCGACAGGCCUUCACUGAUGCUGCCAUCCGACUGAGCCGUGAGCAGCAGGAGUUUAAGCUACAGAAAGCCUCUCUAGUGAAGCAGCAGUAUCUAUGUAAAUCACCGAGCAACGCUUCCAGUGAGUGGCACUCGUCUUUUUUAAUAUAUAUAAUUUUAUAUAUAUAUAUAUAUAUAUAUAUAUAUAUAUAUAUAAUCACAAACAAGCACUUUUGAAUCUAGAUCACUCCAGUUUGGGGAUGAACAAAAGCUGCUUCAAUGCUACUCCAACAUCCA
This is a long non-coding RNA of Gouania willdenowi (blunt-snouted clingfish), 1657 nucleotides long. The record is from Ensembl. NCBI's taxonomy places the organism in Eukaryota, Metazoa, Chordata, Actinopteri, Blenniiformes, Gobiesocidae.